This 429-nucleotide ribosomal RNA is filed under the name Bacteroidota bacterium. RNAcentral describes it as "Bacteroidetes bacterium partial 16S ribosomal RNA". It matches the Rfam family "Bacterial small subunit ribosomal RNA", at positions 355 to 776 of the family's 1533-position model. Lineage: Bacteria; Pseudomonadati; Bacteroidota. The record is from RNAcentral.
UAGGGAAUCUUCCGCAAUGGACGCAAGUCUGACGGAGCAACGCCGCGUGAGUGAAGAAGGAUUUCGGUUCGUAAAACUCUGUUGUUAGAGAAGUACAGCGCAUAGAGUAACUGUUAUGCGUGUGACGGUAUCUAACCAGAAAGCCACGGCUAACUACGUGCCAGCAGCCGCGGUAAUACGUAGGUGGCAAGCGUUGUCCGGAUUUAUUGGGCGUAAAGCGAGCGCAGGCGGUCAAUUAAGUCUGAUGUGAAAGCCCCCGGCUCAACCGGGGAGGGUCAUUGGAAACUGGUUGACUUGAGUGCAGAAGAGGAGAGUGGAAUUACAUGUGUAGCGGUGAAAUGCGUAGAUAUAUGGAGGAACACCAGUGGCGAAGGCGACUCUCUGGUCUGUAACUGACGCUGAGGCUCGAAAGCGUGGGUAGCAAACAGG